RNAcentral lists this long non-coding RNA (509 nucleotides) under Hordeum vulgare. Its description in RNAcentral is "long non-coding RNA (HVUL_LNC013940)". The record is from RNAcentral. Lineage: Eukaryota; Viridiplantae; Streptophyta; Magnoliopsida; Poales; Poaceae.
UAUAAUUGUAUUGAAUGAAAACUUAGAUACAUGUGUGGAUACAUAGACAAAGCAAUGUCCCUAGCAAGCCUCUAGUUGGCUAGCCAGUUGAUCAAGGAUAUGUUGGUGAACGUUGCAUGGGAAACAAAAAAAUUCCUACGCACAUGAAGACCUAUCAUGGUGAUGUCUAUCUACGAGAGGAGAUUUGGAUCUACGUACCCUUGUAGAUCGUACAGCAGGAAGCGUUAAGAAACGCGGUUGAAGUAGUGGAACGUCCUCACGUCCCUCGAUCCACCCCACGAACCGUCCUACGAACCGUCCCGCGAUCCGUCCCACGAUCCGUUCCGAUCUAGUGCCAAACGGACGGCACGUCCGCGUUCAGCACACGUACAGCUCGACGAUGAUCUCGGCCUUCUUGAUACAACAAGCAAGACAGAGAAGUAGAUGAGUUCUCCGGUGGUGGUGAUGAUCUACUCCUGCAGGGCUCCGCCCGAACUCCGUAGAAAUACGACCUAGAGGAAGAACUAUGG